CCCUAGUUUCUAAGGAUCAUGUCUGCGAGCCAGGAUUCCCGAUCCAGAGACAAUGGCCCCGAUGGGAUGGAGCCCGAAGGCGUCAUCGAGAGUAACUGGAAUGAGAUUGUUGACAGCUUUGAUGACAUGAACCUCUCGGAGUCCCUUCUCCGUGGUAUCUACGCCUAUGGUUUUGAGAAGCCCUCUGCCAUCCAGCAGCGAGCCAUUCUACCUUGUAUCAAGGGUGAGACCUCUCAGUCCCAGAAGACAUUGUGGACUGUCCCUGACCUGGGUAGAGUGGCAUCUGGUUGGUGAUGCCCAUCUCAUAUCAGCCAGGGACAAAGCAACUCCUUGUUCAUCCCAGCUUGGCUUUUGAUCCGUGCCCAUGCCUGGUUCAUGCCUUGGACACAUAGUUUUCCUUUAAAGAGGUGGUAUUGUAGCCAGCUUAUACUUGCAUCUACAGCCAUGUUUCUAGUCCAGCUUGGUGUGCAAUACUAGAUGAGUUAAUAACUGGUCCUUGUUUCUGAUCUGGUUCCCAUUGUGUAACUGUUGAUUGGGAAGGUAGUUUGUGAGCCAUGAAAUGCUUGGUUCAUUGGUUGCUUAUUGACCUCAUUAACCUAGGACUUGAAUAUCCCAAAGGGUAUGCUCUUUACCACAUUCAACUCCUAAUUUAUUUGUUUAGGUUAUGAUGUGAUUGCUCAAGCCCAAUCUGGGACUGGGAAAACGGCCACAUUU
This 714-nucleotide small RNA is filed under the name Pan troglodytes (chimpanzee). RNAcentral describes it as "retained intron". The stretch from base 258 to 392 matches the Rfam family "Small nucleolar RNA SNORA48". The record is from RNAcentral. Lineage: Eukaryota; Metazoa; Chordata; Mammalia; Primates; Hominidae.